UCUUCGGUAGCUCAGUGGUAGAGCGGUCGGUUGUUAACUGACUAGUCGUAGGUUCAAAUCCCACUUGGGGAG
This 72-nucleotide transfer RNA is filed under the name Helianthus annuus (common sunflower). It matches the Rfam family "tRNA". From Rfam's summary of the family: Transfer RNA (tRNA) molecules are approximately 80 nucleotides in length. Their secondary structure includes four short double-helical elements and three loops (D, anti-codon, and T loops). The record is from Rfam by way of RNAcentral. Lineage: Eukaryota; Viridiplantae; Streptophyta; Magnoliopsida; Asterales; Asteraceae.